This is a long non-coding RNA of Ostrinia nubilalis (European corn borer), 286 nucleotides long. RefSeq lists it as uncharacterized. NCBI's taxonomy places the organism in Eukaryota, Metazoa, Arthropoda, Insecta, Lepidoptera, Crambidae. The record is from RefSeq and is a predicted model, not a curated record. The transcript has 3 exons.
AAGUUCGUCAUGUACGUAAUAAUUAAAAAGUAUAAGUGCACAUUUUAAAAACUCUGUGAAACCAGUGCAGUAUUUCCUAAAAUGAGUACCUACUGCUCAGCAAGACAAUUAAAUAUCUACAAUAAUAAGCAGAAAACGUCGUUAUAGAUCUUGGUUAAAACAGAUCCCCAGUGACAUGAUUUAAUUAAUAAACUAAUUAAAUCGUGGAUAAGAAACUUCGACGAGAAGAAGAAUUGAUUUAUAUCAUCAAUAAUCGUAGUAAAAAAGGUCUUAAUUUAUUUCAAUU